CACACACACACACAUACACACACACACACUCUUGCACACAUUGGAGGCUAGACUGGAGACUGCCUGGAGGCCCUGACGAUGGGAAGUGGACAUUUUGCUCUCACCUGGCCAAGCCCGGUCACUCGACAUUCCUUCUAUAUUAUACCCAUUGCGGGUACAUUCUUAGCCAUGAUAAACAUCUGCUCCAUAAAAGGAACGGCAGUAUCCUCUGAAGUUGUCAAGGAGACUAGAGGGUGCUCCGCAGUCUAAGGUCAAAGUCCUGGAAGGAAGAAGAUAAUUCCAGCCCUUCUCCACAUGAACCCUGGGAGAAUGCAUUCAUUUUUGAGCUGAGGGAAGUAAACCCUGACUUCAUUCUGA
Mastomys coucha (southern multimammate mouse) is the source of this 357-nucleotide long non-coding RNA. RefSeq lists it as uncharacterized. Lineage: Eukaryota; Metazoa; Chordata; Mammalia; Rodentia; Muridae. The record is from RefSeq and is a predicted model, not a curated record. The transcript is spliced from 3 exons.